Molecule: long non-coding RNA, 645 nt
Organism: Anolis carolinensis (green anole)
Lineage: Eukaryota; Metazoa; Chordata; Lepidosauria; Squamata; Anolidae
Exons: 2
Source: RefSeq, a predicted model, not a curated record
CCACUCUCCUGCUGCGCACAAAAUCCCUGGAGGGUGCCACUUAGUCAAGACUCUCCCUCCCUUAUGGACUGAGAAUUGAAUGGGACAAAGAAGUUAGCCAGUGACUGGAAACAGGAAUCCUCUCUCGCCAAAUCGUUGAGCCGGAACACAAACUGGAAAGAAAUGAGUGACAUUGCUUCAUGGACUGUCACCACCAGGAGUGUGAAGAAUGCAGAUUGAAUUAUUGGUUAUGAAUGAAUACUUCCAAGCAAAAGGUUCAGUCUCCCAGUGUGACAUCCUGCAGAUGGCAAACAACGAAUUAGGCAGUUGGGAAACAAUGCCUUAUGGACAGGGAAGUCAAAGUGAUCGGGAUCAUUCAUGGCAGAUGAUCAGCUCAACCUUUACAAAAAUAAUUGUCAAAAUACAGCUGUAAUUUCUCACAUACUUUUUCUAGUACUUCUGGUGUCUAUUUGGCAAUACUGUAGUUCUUCUGCCCUUUUUAUUUCUAUGAUGUUGGUGUCUGUGAGCAAAAUGAUAUAGGUAUAUAAUUGUACUGCACCUGUACUUGCAUCCAUCGUGCAUACUCUAUGUGGUUUCACCUGUAGCCUCAGCAGGAACUAAAGCUGUUCCUGAGAACAAUGCAUUAAACAUGCUCUUGUUCUCAAA